AUUGCAGUUUGAUAAGACUAAACAUAUAAUUCUGGAUAUUAUCUUCAUUAGUCUGGAUACAUCAGACAUUUCUUCAGUUCUCUGACAGUAUCAUUUCCAAGAAGAAUAUUUUGCUUUCCUAAUGAUUGUUAUUAAUAAAACAGGUAAGAACACCCCUAUAUGUCCCAUUCAUUCAGGGCCCACCAGAGAAAAAGCAGGACCCAGUAUAAAGUUGUUGUGUGGGACCUUUUAAUAAUAAUAAAGACAGUUUUGAACAAGAGUUGGAUGAUGCAGGAAUGUAGUUUGGCACAAGGCUCCACAAUCCUGCAUCAUCCAACCUAUACUUCCUUCCAACUGACCUUGCAUUCACCUAUACUUAAAUUAUUAGUCAAUCUGACUUUAUGAAGAGUUGCCUUACAUUAUCUAAGCUUGUCAAAUUGUUUGUCUAAACAAGGAACCUGCCUUAAUGAGGCAGCAUUAUUGGAUAGACAAAUAAUUUGGUUGAACCAAUAGUUUUCAUUGUGAGACAAGAAUUUUCUGUUGAAUUCGAACAACAGUUAACUCUAGAUACUAAAUUUGCUCUGAAUAUUCCCAAAAUUAGAUUUAAGUUCUUAUUUAUAAGAAGCCUAAUUUUUUGAAUGUUUAUUGCCUGAAAGAAUACCAUAGCAAUUAAAGCAAAUGUAUCUGAUCUGACUCAGAUAACUUGUUAAAUAUAUGUUAUUUUUCAGCUAUAUCAAAAAUAUUUGUAGUCAUAACAUUAGGUCAAUAAUCUCCUCCUGGUUUUGCCUGCAAAAAUUGCCUUCAUUUAAAACAAAAAGGUGCAAAAUUUCAGUAUUCAAAAUUGUUGAUAAUUAAUACUUUUCUGAUACAAGGCUAAAAUUAUAGUUUUGUAUAAAUUUCUUUAACCUAUUGAGGUUUGUUCAUAUGUGUACACACUGUGGAAGAAGUGGAAUAUGAUUUUAAAAAAAUUCAAUCCUGAUUUAAUAGUGCAGCUAUUGCAGGAUGUUUUUUGUGUGUGUUUAUUGGGUGAAAAUGUGUCCCUAUGAUGAUGGAUUUUAAAUUUUUUAUUGCCGAAAUUUGUUUUUAAAUAAUGGUUUAAAGAUAGAAAAUUUGAAUGGAUUAUAUCAGUAGAAUUUGGAUUAUUUUUCAUCAGAUUUUAUCAAUUCUGC
Molecule: long non-coding RNA, 1148 nt
Filed under: Androctonus crassicauda
Lineage: Eukaryota; Metazoa; Arthropoda; Arachnida; Scorpiones; Buthidae
Source: RNAcentral